RNAcentral lists this ribosomal RNA (441 nucleotides) under Oribacterium sinus. RNAcentral describes it as "bacterial SSU rRNA". It matches the Rfam family "Bacterial small subunit ribosomal RNA", at positions 28 to 453 of the family's 1533-position model. The record is from RNAcentral. Lineage: Bacteria; Bacillati; Bacillota; Clostridia; Lachnospirales; Lachnospiraceae.
GAUGAACGCUGGCGGCGUGCCUAACACAUGCAAGUCGAACGAGAUGCGUAUUGGAAAGCUUCGGCCGGAAGAUGCGUUAUCUAGUGGCGGACGGGUGAGUAACACGUGGGUAACCUGCCUUAUGGAGGGGGAUAACAGAGAGAAAUCACUGCUAAUACCGCAUAAGCACACAGUACCGCAUGGUACAGGGUGAAAAGAUUUAUCGCCAUAAGAUGGACCCGCGUCUGAUUAGCCAGUUGGCAGGGUAAAAGCCUACCAAAGCAACGAUCAGUAGCCGAUCUGAGAGGAUGACCGGCCACAUUGGGACUGAGACACGGCCCAAACUCCUACGGGAGGCAGCAGUGGGGAAUAUUGCACAAUGGGGGAAACUCUGAUGCAGCGACGCCGCGUGAGUGAAGAAGUAUUUCGGUAUGUAAAGCUCUAUCAGCAGGGAAGAUAAUG